GUGAAUCAUCAAAUCUUUGAACGCAAAUUGCACUCCCUGGUAUUCCGGGGAGUAUGCCUGUUUGAGGGUCGUUAGAAAAAAAAACGAAGCGUCGCUCUUUUUUUUAAGGGUGAUCGCAUCGGAAUAAAGCCGUCUUUCAAAUGUUAAUUCAUGUCUAAGUGGCUUAAAAUUCACCCAUCCGCUGGGAUUAAUCGGGUCUAAGC
This 203-nucleotide unclassified non-coding RNA is filed under the name Funneliformis mosseae. Its description in RNAcentral is "partial contains 5.8S ribosomal RNA and internal transcribed spacer 2". The stretch from base 1 to 71 matches the Rfam family "5.8S ribosomal RNA", at positions 84 to 154 of the family's 154-position model. The record is from RNAcentral. Lineage: Eukaryota; Fungi; Glomeromycota; Glomeromycetes; Glomerales; Glomeraceae.